Molecule: long non-coding RNA, 3656 nt
Organism: Rattus norvegicus (Norway rat)
Lineage: Eukaryota; Metazoa; Chordata; Mammalia; Rodentia; Muridae
Source: RefSeq, a predicted model, not a curated record
AGGUUAGUAAUCAAACAGUUUUGUAUGGCUGGCACGCAGAUGGUGGUACUGUGUGGGAUGGUUUUAGAGGUGGUGCCUUCCUGGAUGAAGUGUAUCACAAGGGUAGGGGGUAUAAUCUGAGGUUUUACUGCUAGCCUGUAAAUUGAUGGCUUCCUGUUCUGUCUGUCUGUCUGUCUGUCUGUCUGUCUGUCUGUGUGUCCUUCCUUGCUUCCAAUGUGCAGACGAAGUGUGGUCAUUUGCUUCCCACCCUGUCAGGAUGGGCUCAUACUCCUUCUCCAUGCCUUCCCUGCCUUGACUACGUUGUAUCAUAGCCCCUCAACAAAUGAAAGGCAGAAUAAGCCCUUUCUCCCAUAGCUUGCUUUUCGUUAUAAUAUUUUAUCACAGCAAUAGAAAAGCAAUGAAUACAGCUGGUUAAUUAAAUCAGCAUCUACCUCCGAGCCCCUUCACAGCACUGACUGUCUCGUUAUACUCCCCUACACGUUUAACAAAAUGCCUAUAUUUCUUUUCCCUGAUCUAUCGGUCACUCACAUCAUCUGGUCAGCCCCCACAUGGAAAGAUGAGUCUUUGGGUGACUUUUAUAAACCUCCAGACCUCAAAGGACUCCCUGCACACCACACACACACACACACACACACACACACACACACAGAGAGAGAGAGAGAGAGAGAGAGAGAGAGAGAGAGAGAGAGAGAGAGAGCGCUAGCUUUCUGCAUGAUUCAGAGUUUCAGGCCCACAUUAUCAUGACCUCCUAAGAGCACUAUUAACAUAUUUUUUUCUCAAUUAUCUUCAAUUCAAAAGAAUCAGCGUGUCAGAGUGACAUUUGGGGGAUAGCUUGUUCUGAUGUUCUUCAGGUGGGUAAACCCAAAAAUCACCAGAACAUACGAGGAGAUGCAGAAUUUAAUACUUGUUGAGUACUCUUUAAUUUUCUCAAUCACUUGUUUUUUCAGUGUUAACAUUAAUUUAUAUUAAGACGAGCAUACUCCUCACCCACCGCUACUUAAAACUGACUUUCCAAAGUUCAGCUUUAUGACAGAUGGGUAGUAGUCAAUUUUCUAAUUUCAACUGUAUUUCUAUGAAACCUCAUGAGGUUAAAUAAUUUAAUUCCUCCUUCCUCUCCCCUUCCUUCUCCCUUCCUCCCUUCUCCCUCCUUCUUCCCUUCCCUCCUUCUUUUCCUCUCUCCCUCUCUCCAUUUAUAUGGUAGUGUGGACUGAACCCAUGCUAGGCAAGCACUCCACCGAUGAUGUCCACAGCAGCCCGCCUUUUCCAGAGCUUUCUUCAUCAUUGAAUUUUGUUUCUGUGGUCUGACCAGAAUCUGCUCAGGACUCUUGCCCAUUUUCUGGCUGAAUUGUUGACCUUUUUAACUGUUGAUCUGUAAGUCUGUCCUGGAUGCUCAUCUGUCCAUCCCUUGUGUGACUGACAGCUUCCUCCACCUCUUGGCUGCUCACCCCACUUCUUGACUGCUCACCCCACCUCUUGGCUACUCAUUACCUUUCAUAGGGAUGUUGAGUUCCUCACUCUAUGUUGUCGAAUUCAUUGGUGCUUUCUUUAUGACCAGUGCUUUCAGAAAGAAGACUUUAUACCCCAUAGUCAUGGAGGUGUUUUCAUAUGCCCUCCCAGAGUUUCACCUUCCACAUUUAAAUCUUUCACUUAACCUGUAAGUUAGUUUUAUGUGACAUAAGGACUGUUUUAAUCUUAUUUUCUUAGCUAAUGGACUACCUAGUGUCUAUUGGCCAUCUUCUUUCCUCACUAGCCAAGGUCUCUCCUGCCAUCGUUCUUGACCUCAUCUCCAUGAGCUCCUGGGUUUGCUGUCCUCCUGCCAACCUGUCUGUCCGACUCAGCAUUGAUACGAGAAGGCCUUCGUUCUGUGGCUUGACAAUGCCUUUCUGCAACAGCAAAUUCAUCCACUUAUAACUCUCUGGGGAAAGUGCAGGCUCUUGCCUCAAAUCGUCUGUCUAAUACUCCUGCUUGUAUUAUGGUCGACUUGAGUACUUUGAUAUUUCAGGGCCAGGCCUCUCAGAUACUUGAUUUAAAAAAAAAAGUAGUUUAGAGUCUACUCAUUGGUUUUUUUUUUUAAUGCAACUAAUCUCCCCACCCAGAUCCCUUUAAAACCCAUAAGCAAAGUUUUGACGCCUUCACAUGCGUCUUACAUUACAUUCUAGCUUUUUCUCUUUGUUAAUUCUUUCUUUACAUGUUUUUUGUUUGAGAGUCUGGUUCUAUAUCUCAGGCUGUCCCAGAAUCCACUGUGUAGGACAGGUUAACCUUGAAUUUAUGGCAAUCCUCCUGCCUCAGUCUCCCAAGUGCUAAAAUUACAGCAACCAGUCACCAGACUCACAUUCCUAUCGUACGGUAGCAGUAACACAUUUGCUGCCUUUGUGAAUGAGAUUUCAUGUGCAAUUUCUAGCAAAUGCUAUUUAUCGUUUCUUGUUUUAUUUGUUGAUAUUGAUUCGCUAUUAUUAACUCUACUUUUUGCAAUUUUUUUACGAUCAUAAGAAAGGUCAAACAGUGAUACUUCGAGGAAUGUCCAAGUUGAAUCUACAGCAUAGAACUGGAUUCUAGGGGGAUUUUAGGUAGGGCUUUGAGAGCUAGAGAUGAGGAAGAACGUUCUGGGGCAUUAGUAGUGUUGGGGUGGAAGGUGUGUGGCAUGACUUGAGGGAAUUGAGAAAUGAAUCUGACAGUUUUUCUAAGCAGCUGCUGUGAAGCAACAUACCAGAGAAGCCUCCCACUCAGCCCAGCCCCGGAAGGUAGCAUCUGACACAGGCGUGCUGCUAUUGUAUUCAACAGCAGGCGACACGUUGAAUCAGGCAGACACUAGCAAAGUGGAAAUAUACCCAAACUCCAGUAUACAGCACGCAAUUACACACAUUCACCCGUGAGACAGGCAGAUGAAGUGACACAGUGGGAAGACAGAUAUCAGAACAGUGGCACUUGCUUGUUUCCUUUGUCCUUUUGCCCAAUACCUCUUUUUUUCACCUUAGGGUUGAAUCUGUCUUUGAUGACAGGAGUGUCCUCUGAGUGGCUCUACCCAGCAGUUGACUGAAACAGAUGCAGAGACCUAUAGCCAAACAUUGAAUGGAGUUUGGGGAGUCUUAUGGAAGAAUUGCGGGAAGGAUCAAAGGACCCAGAUGGGAUAGGAACUCCACAGGAAGACCAGCAGAGCCAACUAAUCUGGACCCUUGGGGACUCUCAGAAAAUGAACCACUAACCAAAGAGCAUACAUGGGCUGGACCUAGGUAGGAUCCACCACACAUAUAUAGCAGAUGUGUUAUAUAUGUCUCCCAACAACUGGACUGGGGGCUAUCCCUAAAUCUGAUGCCUGUACCCCUAACUGGGCUGACUUCUCUGGCCAUGAUGGGAGAAACGUGCCUAGCCCUGCAGAGAUUCGAUGUGCCAGAGUUAGGGAAUACCCACCCUUUCAGAGGAGAAAGGAGGGGAAUGAGGGAAGGGAUAGUGUUUGGGGGAACUGGGAGGGGGAAGCAACUGGGAUGUAAAGUGAAUAAAUAAAUUAAUUAAUGGAAAAAUUAAAUAAAUAAAACAUCCCCAAAAGGAAAGUGUAUAUUAAUUUUUGUUGUGUUAUUGCUUUUUGUGCCUUUUGAAGUUUUUCUAUUUCUCUAUUGGUUAGCUACUGUUCUAAUUCCAGUGUUCUUUAUCUUUUCUGU